CGGGGCGUAGUUCAGAUGGCUAGAACGUUGGGCUGGGGGUCCAAAGGUCGCAGGUUCGAGUCCUGUCGCCCCGA
RNAcentral lists this transfer RNA (74 nucleotides) under Candidatus Roizmanbacteria bacterium CG_4_9_14_0_2_um_filter_39_13. Its description in RNAcentral is "tRNA-Pro". It matches the Rfam family "tRNA". Rfam says of the family: Transfer RNA (tRNA) molecules are approximately 80 nucleotides in length. Their secondary structure includes four short double-helical elements and three loops (D, anti-codon, and T loops). The record is from RNAcentral. Lineage: Bacteria; Candidatus Roizmaniibacteriota.